GAUGAAGAACGCAGCGAAAUGCGAUACGUAAUGUGAAUUGCAGAAUUCAGUGAAUCAUCGAAUCUUUGAACGCAUAUUGCGCUCUUUGGUAUUCCGAAGAGCAUGCUUGUUUGAGUAUCAGUAAACACCUCAACCUCUUCUUGAUUUUUCAAAAGGAGGGUGGACUUGAGCUAUCCCAACAACCUUUACCGGUCGGCGGGCGGCUUGAAAUGCAGGUGCAGCUGGACUUUUAUCUGAGCUAAAAGCAUAUCUAUUUAGUCCUCGUCAAACAGGAAUAUUACUUUUGCUGCAGCUAACAUAAAGGAUAAUUGUCCUCUUUGCUGACUGAUGCAGGAUUUUACGACACUUUAUGUGUUGUUCAACUCGAUCUCAAAUCAAGUAAGACUACCCGCUGAACUUAAGCAUAUCAAUAAGCGGAGGA
Molecule: unclassified non-coding RNA, 421 nt
Filed under: soil metagenome
Description: partial contains 5.8S ribosomal RNA, internal transcribed spacer 2, and large subunit ribosomal RNA
Rfam family: 5.8S ribosomal RNA (bases 1-120)
Source: RNAcentral